Peromyscus leucopus (white-footed mouse) is the source of this 719-nucleotide long non-coding RNA. RefSeq lists it as uncharacterized. NCBI's taxonomy places the organism in Eukaryota, Metazoa, Chordata, Mammalia, Rodentia, Cricetidae. The transcript has 2 exons. The record is from RefSeq and is a predicted model, not a curated record.
CGUCUCCAUUGAAAUGGUGUUGUUAGCUUUCUGCCACUGCUGCCUGAUGUGGGCCUCAGAAGACUCAGAGCAGGGUGCUGGCCGGGCCAGGCUCCUUCUGGAGACAGUAAAGGUGGUGUUGUGAGAAUAUGGUUCUCACAAGUUGAGGGUUGUCGGCUGGAGGCCACCCUAACUGCUGAGGGCUGCCUGUACUUCUCACUCUGGUCAUCAGAGCCAUCAAGGAGACGUGUGACACAGCGCAGAGCCCGCACCAGGAAUGGAUGUGCAAAGCAAGCCUCAGAAGAUGGCCAAAAACAGCACCAGCAAGACAGCGACACAGUUGACCUGACACCCGUCUCCGUCCGCUGCCCACCAGUACCGCGGUGUCCCAGUGCCAGUGGAGGGGACUGAGGGCGACUGAGGGCUCCACGUCCUCUGAAGAAGCGAGCAGCACACGCCCUGGUCCUCGCCUGAGGUUCCUGAUGAGCAGGUGUCUGGCGCCAGGACAUUGCUCCAGUGCAGGCCUUUCGGGGCAGUUCAAGGAAGACGAGGGAGGAGGCUACAUAUGACGACUCCAGCUUCAGGAGAAGGGAGCAGUGAGGCCAUCCCUGGGCCUUGGGAGCAAAGCUGUCCUUCAAGGUGAGUGCCCCUUUGUGGUGCGGUUGGUUGACGCUAAAGUCAGUAAGCCUUCAGCUAAAAUUGCCUCUGGUGAAUAAAUCCCACAGAAGGGAAAUGGCAAA